GAUGAACGCUGGCGGCGUGCCUAAUACAUGCAAGUCGAGCGAACGGACGAGAAGCUUGCUUCUCUGAUGUUAGCGGCGGACGGGUGAGUAACACGUGGAUAACCUACCUAUAAGACUGGGAUAACUUCGGGAAACCGGAGCUAAUACCGGAUAAUAUUUUGAACCGCAUGGUUCAAAAGUGAAAGACGGUCUUGCUGUCACUUAUAGAUGGAUCCGCGCUGCAUUAGCUAGUUGGUAAGGUAACGGCUUACCAAGGCAACGAUGCAUAGCCGACCUGAGAGGGUGAUCGGCCACACUGGACCUGAGACACGGUCCAGACUCCUACGGGGGGCAGCAGUAGGGAAUCUUCCGCAAUGGGCGAAAGCCUGCCGGAGCAACGCCGCGUGAGUGAUGAAGGUCUUCGGAUCGUAAAACUCUGUAUUAGGGAAGAACAUAUGUGUAAGUAACUGUGCACAUCUUGACGGUACCUAAUCAGAAAGCCACGGCUAACUACGUG
RNAcentral lists this ribosomal RNA (496 nucleotides) under uncultured bacterium. RNAcentral's name for it is "partial 16S ribosomal RNA". It matches the Rfam family "Bacterial small subunit ribosomal RNA", at positions 28 to 507 of the family's 1533-position model. The record is from RNAcentral.